RNAcentral lists this ribosomal RNA (252 nucleotides) under uncultured bacterium. Its description in RNAcentral is "partial 16S ribosomal RNA". It matches the Rfam family "Bacterial small subunit ribosomal RNA", at positions 524 to 776 of the family's 1533-position model. The record is from RNAcentral.
UACGUAGGGGGCUAGCGUUGUCCGGAAUCAUUGGGCGUAAAGCGCGUGUAGGCGGCCCGGUAAGUCCGCUGUGAAAGUCGGGGGCUCAACCUCGGAUGCCGGUGGAUACUGUCGGGCUUGAGUGCGGAAGAGGCGAGUGGAAUUUACGGUGUAGCGGUGAAAUGCGUAGAUAUCGUAAGGAAGACCAGUGGCGAAGGCGGGUCUCUGGACAGUCCCUGACGCUGAGGCACGAAGGUCAGGGGAGCAAACGGG